GACAAUACAUUUUCAAGGUUUCAAUGCUGAUGAGUAAUUCUAAGAAAAACAAAAAACUGUUUUGCAAGGUUUAUUUGACUUAAUCAGACACAUUAAUUUUAACCCAGGAAUAAAAACCUGCUCUCCCAAGUACAAAUGUGCUGGGGGGAAAAACACAUGGCCAGUGAUAUAUAAUAGAGGCCAGGAGAGACCACUAGGACAUAUUUCUCACUUGCACUGUGAUUAUUAAAAUACAGCAGCAACAAUAAAAAAAGAAGAGUUUGACUAAUUCAUGUAAAUUAAUUCCAGAACAAGAGGACACCGCCUGUGGCCAGACUCUCACCAAACAUGUAGCCUCACAUACAGUCAUACAUAUACAGUAACAUUAAAAAAAAAAACAGUUCAUCGCCCGGUAUAAAAAUAAUACAAUCUGAAUAGUCUUUCAAAUUAUGAUUGAGAAAAUUGGAACAAUCUUGGUUAAUAUAGCCUGCAUAUUUCCCUUUAAUUUCAUGAAGAGAAUGAACAU
Molecule: long non-coding RNA, 505 nt
Organism: Sinocyclocheilus grahami
Lineage: Eukaryota; Metazoa; Chordata; Actinopteri; Cypriniformes; Cyprinidae
Exons: 2
Source: RefSeq, a predicted model, not a curated record